This 103-nucleotide microRNA precursor is filed under the name Marmota monax (woodchuck). Lineage: Eukaryota; Metazoa; Chordata; Mammalia; Rodentia; Sciuridae. The record is from RNAcentral.
AGUGGGAUAGCUGGGUCAAAUGAUAGUUCCAUUUCAAGUUUUCUAAGCAAUCUCCAUACUGCUUUCCAGAUUGGUCGCACCAGUUUGCAGUGCCACCAGCAAU